AUAAAUUAUGUAAUAUGCCAGGGAGAUAUGUAUACUGUAGCUAAGAAAGUAAUACUUAGUGUAUGUUGUGUAGUAAGCUGUUAGUAGCCCAUGUGCCCCACCCUAAUAAUUUGGUCUAUUUUCUUCUCUUAACUUUGCCUACUGUUCUGACUUGGUGGUGCACAUGUAGCCUAUAACCUGUUUUAGAGAAAUGUCAUCAUCAAAUAUUGUAAGAGCUUUCAUUGUCUGCUUAUAUGCCCCCUUUAUUUAUCCUAUGGUUCAGACUUGGUUUACAGGGAGAACACUGUAAGAACGGCCCAUGUUCUGAAUUCUGUCGCUGUACUGUUGGGACUCUGCUGUUGGGACAACUUUGUGUAGGCCCUAACAGUUUGUGGGCAACGUUUGUCACCAUUUUAGUGAAAUUAAUCUAUUGUUUAGUGUUGUGUUGUUGCUUUUCCGGCAUUCAUCCCUCUUUUUUUGGUUUAUCCCACCAAGCUUUACAUGCUAAAAUCGUCACGGGUUGUAAUAUUAACUUACCAUAUGUAUCCAUCUUUGCACACAUGCCAGUACAUUUUCUGAUAGGACACCUUGAGCAGGCCUUUCUUCUGGAGGUAUUUCACCUUUUAAGCUGUUUUUUUGGCUACAAUAUAUGACUUAGCACACGAGCUAUUUUCAAUUAAAAAUCCUUGGGUCAGGUAUUGGAUUUGGGUGCGCACUUUAAGAGUAAAAAUUUGUAUCCAGCUGGAAAUUGGACCAAAAAAAAGAGAGUUCACUUGUUCACAUGUUGUUUAACGUCAUCGAGGACAAAACGCAGUGACAGUCAACGCUGACCAAGGCCAACCAUGCCUACACUGGAAGACGCUUUGCCAAUUGUGCCCCACCCUAUGGGACUCCCAAUCACAGCCAGAUGUGAUGCAGCCUGGAUUCAAACCAGAAUGUCUUACAAACAAUGUAAGAAGAUGGCCUCAUCAGCAGAGAUUGAUGCCAUAACUGAAUUGGUAGAUGUCGAGAUCCCUAAGUAAGAUGUAUGGGAACCAACUGUGGUUGCUGUAGAUGAUUAUGUACCUCCCAUAGAUGGGGACAACGUUGACAAGAUGUGUGAGUCGGACAAUAGCUCAGAUUUUUCAAGCUCAGACGGCUCGUCAUCCACUGACAGUGAAUAUGAAAAAAAGAAGAAGAAGAAGAAGGGGAAAAAAGGAAACAGCUAAAUCCAGAGAAAACCUCCGGGGACCAUGAAACAACAUCCCAGGAACAUCCUGAAAACGUCCUCGGAGACAUCCCUGUGACAAACCAUGAACUAGACAAAAUCUCCAGGGGACCGUGACACAACAUCUCAAGAACGUCCUAAAAAUGUCGGCGAGGACGGCCCCGGGACAAACCGGGAACUAGACAAAACCUCCAGGCAACCAUGCCACAAUGUCCUGACCACUUUAGGCCGACCAAUUAGACACAUUUUGGUGUACAAGGAUAGCCUUGCUAUCUCCAACCAAUCAGAGUUUUUGGAAACAGGCGUCUGGACACUACACCCGCCCACUCAGGCCAGUGAGUAUUUGUUUAAUGAGUGAAGUCAUAACUUUAUCUGUAGGACUAUUAGUGUAAACAUUAUUACGAAUGCUCUGGAAUGUAGUGUGUGCAUCUACCUGUAAAUUGCAGUGGGUUUAUUAUUGGGGGGGAAUAAAAAC
RNAcentral lists this long non-coding RNA (1661 nucleotides) under Salmo salar (Atlantic salmon). RNAcentral describes it as "lncRNA (ENSSSAG00000101515.1)". Lineage: Eukaryota; Metazoa; Chordata; Actinopteri; Salmoniformes; Salmonidae. The record is from RNAcentral.